RNAcentral lists this non-coding RNA (51 nucleotides) under Vibrio aerogenes. RNAcentral describes it as "Guanidine-II sequence". It matches the Rfam family "Guanidine-II riboswitch aptamer (mini-ykkC)". Rfam says of the family: Simpler in structure and has fewer highly conserved nucleotide positions than the ykkC-yxkD leader. Despite this each of its two stem-loop structures directly bind free guanidine. Lineage: Bacteria; Pseudomonadati; Pseudomonadota; Gammaproteobacteria; Vibrionales; Vibrionaceae. RNAcentral also lists the same sequence under 1 other name. The record is from RNAcentral.
AGCCGGGGACGACCCCGAACAUGCUUCAAGGAUUCAGCCGGGACGACCCGG